AUUGAACGCUGGCGGCAGGCUUAACACAUGCAAGUCGAGCGAGCGGCGGACGGGUGAGUAAUGUCUGGGAACCUGCCUGAUGGAGGGGGAUAACUACUGGAAACGGUAGCUAAUACCGCAUACCAUCAGAUGUGCCCAGAUGGGAGUAGCUAGUAGGUGGGGUAAUGGCUCACCUAGGCGACGAUCCCUAGCUGGUCUGUGAGGAUGACCAGCCACACCGGAACUGAGAGACGGGCCAGACGCCUACGGGAGGCAGCAGUGGGGAAUAUUGCACAAUGGGCGCAAUGGUGAUGCAGCCAUGCCGCGGGUAUGGAGAAGGCCUUCGGGUUGUAAAGUACGUUCAGCGGGGAGGCGGUACCUGCAGAAGAAGCACCGGCUAACUCCGUGCCAGCAGCCGCGGUAAUAC
This 406-nucleotide ribosomal RNA is filed under the name uncultured bacterium. RNAcentral's name for it is "partial 16S ribosomal RNA". It matches the Rfam family "Bacterial small subunit ribosomal RNA", at positions 29 to 526 of the family's 1533-position model. The record is from RNAcentral.